This is a long non-coding RNA of Melospiza melodia melodia, 570 nucleotides long. RefSeq lists it as uncharacterized. The transcript has 3 exons. The record is from RefSeq and is a predicted model, not a curated record. NCBI's taxonomy places the organism in Eukaryota, Metazoa, Chordata, Aves, Passeriformes, Passerellidae.
AGGGCCCCUGCUUUGUAUCUUUGUACCACGCUAAAGAAAAAUGUUCCUGGGAUCAAAACAAGGCGAUCCAUCAUCUCUUCCUCCAUAGAGGCAAACAAAGCACAAGAGGAUCAAGGAUGCUUUUUAUAGCUGUUCUUUCACUGGAAAUAAAUCCUGGGGGACACCACUACAUCAUUUUUCCUACCCUGACAUCCUGCCCUGAACUUAGCAGCAAUCUCCCGUGGCACAUUUCACCUUCUGUUAAUCCAGCUGGGAUUCAGCAUUACCUGGAGCAGGAAUGGAGGCAAGGUCAGGCUGAGAACUUCUGCCUUCUCCUGGAGUGCAUUGGGGUUUGGAAAAUGGAAUUCCAGGAGCCCUGCAGGAGGUGAUGAGCAGUGAUUCAUGGCACAUCCCAAACCGGGAAUCCAGAUUUCCUGGAGCAGUUUCCUGAGUUCAGCAGUGAUCUGAGCCGUGUCACCACGUCUGUCCUCACCUCUCCUGGUGCAGAUUGUGCACACAGGGAAACAGCUGGGCACUCCCACAGUUAAAACCUUUCCAAGGCACAGAAGAGCAGGACUCAGUGUCAUGGAC